This 508-nucleotide long non-coding RNA is filed under the name Medicago truncatula (barrel medic). Its description in RNAcentral is "long non-coding RNA (MTRU_LNC004194)". Lineage: Eukaryota; Viridiplantae; Streptophyta; Magnoliopsida; Fabales; Fabaceae. The record is from RNAcentral.
GUGUUUUUUUUUUUGUGUUGUGCAGGUCUCUAUUUAUAGAGUGAGGUUGAGGCCAGAAAUCAGUAGCUUGGGGAGGAGAAAAGGCAAUUUCGGUUGUUGGAUUAGGAUGAAAGAAGAACGCGCUUGUGUUCCUAUGUUUCUGCAGAUGAGGCUUGGUGAAAGCUGGAUUGGAAUGGCAUUUGCGUGACAACCUAUUAUUCUGAACCUGGACCCUUUUGGAUUUUUUUUUAUGGAUAUUAACAAACGAAUAAAGUGAUAAAAGGAGAAAAUAAAAUAAAAAUAAAAUCAACGCAGACUUCUUUUGGGCUUAUCUAAUACGGAAUUAAAAGUAAAAAAAAAAAAUAAAAAAAUAAAAGAUGGAAAUAAUUGUUUAAAGACUGAGAGAAAGAGGGCCCGACUCGGAAACAAAAUGAGGUAUUUUAAAAUACCUCCCUGCCGAAUUUUCACUGAAAUGUGAGUCUGGUCCGAGUUCGGAAACGUGUGUCAGUGGGACCUUAGGUCAAAAUUU